GUCUACGGCCAUGCUACCCUGAACAAUCCCAAUGUCUGUUCUCGGAAGCUAAGCAGGGUUGGGCCUGGUUAUUACUUGGAUGGGAGAUGACCUAGGAAGACCAGGUGCUGUAGGCA
Non-coding RNA from Pteropus alecto (black flying fox), 116 nucleotides. NCBI's taxonomy places the organism in Eukaryota, Metazoa, Chordata, Mammalia, Chiroptera, Pteropodidae. The record is from Rfam.